Molecule: regulatory RNA element, 72 nt
Organism: Micromonospora nigra
Lineage: Bacteria; Bacillati; Actinomycetota; Actinomycetes; Micromonosporales; Micromonosporaceae
Rfam family: Actino-pnp RNA
Source: Rfam
ACCGGUCUCCGGUAGUGGCCCCCGGGCAUUCGGCAUCCGCCGGUCGCCCGGGCGCUUCGAUCGAAGACCGGC